AAAACAGCCCAAAGACUAAUGCGCAGCGGAGGUAACGACGGGCGCUAGCAGCUUCGGUUGUCCUGGUUCUACCUCAGAGCUGAAAUCGACGAAACCGGAGGUAGCAGAGCCCAAAACUAUUAUUUGAAGCUCAAUCAUUGUUUGUGCAACUGAGAAUUUUUCAGUAGGUCUCAAUUGACGGAGGGCUUCCACAGAAUCACAUUCUCUCUGCUAUUUUCAACAAGGGAAUCCAUUCUCUUUGGGGGUGGAACGACCCAAGAUUGUAAUUUGCAUCACUUAAACUCACAGAAAACGUUAAUCACUUGCUAACAAUACUGCAUCAAUAUAAUGCUUGGGAUCUCUUAUGGAGAACUCUUCCUCUUGCUCGGAGCCACUGCUGCACUUAUUGGACCCAAGGAUCUACCAGUAAUAGCAAGAACAGCUGGGAGAUUAGCUGGUCGAGCCAUUGGCUAUGUCCAGUUGGCUCGGGGUCAAUUCGAGAACGUCAUGCAGCAAUCAGGUCCACAAGGAACUUCAAGACACAAUGGCUCAACUUGAAGCCAUACGUCAUGAAAUUCGAAGCAUAUCUAUCUUGAAUCCAGGUCCAUUAACUCGGAGGCUAGUAGAUAACAUUGAUCCUUCAUCUGGCUCUAAUGCCAGUAGCAUUCCUGAAAAUCUAGAUACAGAGAAUACACUGAAAGCUACUGUUUCCAAGCCUCAUAUUGAGCAAACAAAGGGAGGAAGUAUACCAACAGCUACCAUUUCCAAGGCAUUGGGUUUAUGUAUUAUGCACAGCCAAGCAACUGCAUAUGCAAGAUUGGCUGAAUCCUCUGCCUCAAAGCUUGGCUUAUUUCAAAGUAAUGCAGAUGCUGGAGAUCUUGUUGAUG
This 866-nucleotide unclassified non-coding RNA is filed under the name Hevea brasiliensis (rubber tree). Lineage: Eukaryota; Viridiplantae; Streptophyta; Magnoliopsida; Malpighiales; Euphorbiaceae. The record is from RNAcentral.